UUGUACGAGGCUAAGAAACAGGUGUAAUGCGAGCAUAAGCCGGCUAUUACUUCUGUUUCGAGCCGAGUACAAAUACCGCUGAUAUUUUAAGACACUGAACAGUUAUUGACUUUAUCCUGAAAUUAAUUCUGUUAUUGUUUGUCUUUUGAAUGACACAAACAAUCACUUUAUUUUGCAUUUAUUUUCGAUUUGAAAUCCCCUGAGGCAAGAGUAGUAAAAUUAAAUCACAUAUUCAGCUGGAGAUUGGUUAUCAAAAAAAGAAUCUGGAAUGGUCAACAAUAAUACAUCGCUCAAGAAUUGCAGGGCAAUAUACAGUUACUGAUCUUUUAUGAACACAACGAUUAGAAUUAAAAUACACAUAGGUAGAAAAGAGGCUAUAAAUUGUACAUGUACAGUGACAAAUGAUAACAGUGUGAAUGUGAAAAAUUGUGAGCUCUGCACAUCGUCCUCAAGCAAUUUUCGUGCUAAUGGCAGAAUAAAGUAAUUAAAAUAGCUGCCAAGGGGGAAAUCAUCAGAAAUUUAUGUAAAGAGGAACCUCCUAAAAGAAAAGACAAUUCUGAAACAAAAUCAACUAAUGUACAAAAGAUUGAUGAAACUCAUCAACAAAGGACAAACAACACAAAAACCUC
This is a long non-coding RNA of Mytilus trossulus (common blue mussel), 629 nucleotides long. RefSeq lists it as uncharacterized. The record is from RefSeq and is a predicted model, not a curated record. Lineage: Eukaryota; Metazoa; Mollusca; Bivalvia; Mytilida; Mytilidae. The transcript is spliced from 4 exons.